UAUAGGAGGUCCAGCCUGCCCAGUGACCACAAGUUCAACGGCCGCGGUAUUUUGACCGUGCAAAGGUAGCGCAAUCACUUGUCUUUUAAAUAGAGACCUGUAUGAAUGGCCAAACGAGGGCUUAACUGUCUCCCCUUUCAAGUCAGUGAAAUUGAUCUACCCGUGCAGAAGCGGGUAUAAUAAUACAAGACGAGAAGACCCUUUGGAGCUUAAGGUACAAAACUCAACCACACCAAGCAACUUAAUAAAAAGCAAAAACUUUGUGAAACAUGAGAUUCUACCUUCGGUUGGGGCGACCACGGAGGAAAAAGAAGCCUCCAAGUGGACCGGGAUAAACUCCUAAAACCAAGAGAGACAUCUCUAAGCCACAGAACAUCUGACCAAACAUGAUCCGGCCACCAGGACCGAUCAACGAACCAAGUUACCCUAGGGAUAACAGCGCAAUCCCCUCCCAGAGUCCAUAUCGACGAGGGGGUUUACGACCUCGAUGUUGGAUCAGGACAUCCUAAUGGUGCAGCCGCUAUUAAGGGUUCGUUUGUUCAACGAUUAAAGUCCUACGUGA
Molecule: ribosomal RNA, 562 nt
Filed under: Labeobarbus compiniei
Lineage: Eukaryota; Metazoa; Chordata; Actinopteri; Cypriniformes; Cyprinidae
Description: partial 16S ribosomal RNA
Rfam family: Bacterial large subunit ribosomal RNA
Source: RNAcentral